CCUGGUGCUUAUGGCGCGGUAGACCCACUCCGACCCAUCCCGAACUCGGUUGUGAAAUGCUGUUGCGGCGAAGAUAGUUGAGGGGUAGCCCUCUGCAAAAAUAGCUCGGUGCCAGGU
RNAcentral lists this ribosomal RNA (117 nucleotides) under Oculatella sp. LEGE 06141. Lineage: Bacteria; Bacillati; Cyanobacteriota; Cyanophyceae; Oculatellales; Oculatellaceae. The record is from RNAcentral.